RNAcentral lists this long non-coding RNA (445 nucleotides) under Ananas comosus (pineapple). RNAcentral's name for it is "long non-coding RNA (ACOM_LNC001389)". The record is from RNAcentral. Lineage: Eukaryota; Viridiplantae; Streptophyta; Magnoliopsida; Poales; Bromeliaceae.
UUCAUUAGCAAAUUUAAUUAGGAGGGGUUAGAAGUGUAAAAAAUGCAAAUUUAAUUGUGCUAGGCUUAGUUUGGUAUUGAGCUCUAUCUGAUGUUAUUAGAUAAAAUAGAGUUGGGUAAAAAUAUAUAGGAAUAUACUUCUGCGUUUUUCGAUGUGACCGCAAAAAAUUUAUCAUAACUGACUCAUCGCGAUAUGUGGAACGCAAUAUUACGUACGGAAACAAAUAUGACAUUUUUUCAUCGUACUUUAUUGCUUACAACACGUAACAUAAUCUCCCCGCAAUAUCAAACAAAGCCUUAAUAAAUUAAUUAAGCUUUGGACAGAUGUCCUCUUUCGGAAUUUAAUUACUAAAUAAUAAUUUUUGCUAGCUAGAGUAUGAUCAGAUUUAUUAAAUUUGAUGAGAUUUAUAUAGUCAAAUAGCGAUCACAUUCAAUAAAUUUAUUAG